Long non-coding RNA from Pollicipes pollicipes, 790 nucleotides. RefSeq lists it as uncharacterized. NCBI's taxonomy places the organism in Eukaryota, Metazoa, Arthropoda, Thecostraca, Pollicipedomorpha, Pollicipedidae. The transcript has 3 exons. The record is from RefSeq and is a predicted model, not a curated record.
ACCAUGCCGCAGCUGACGCCCGUCGCACGCCCAGUACUACAGCGAGCACCUGAUCCAGCACGUCGUCCAGUGGCCGGCCACCGUGAUGGAGAAACAGGCCAACCGGACCAACGAGGAGGCGUGCCACGUGGCGAGCCUGCUGAUGACCAAGGCGGCCACUGACCUGAAGAUGGCCCGCUCGCUGGUGCGGCUCGCCGAGAUCCAGGCUACGCUACAGGAACAAAGAAUUCUCUUCCUGCGGCAGCAGAUUCACGAGCUGGACGAGCUGAAGUCGCAGAACUCGUUCAUGUCGGACACCUAGCGGCGGCCGCGGCACCCGUCUGCCCAACCUUGUGAUAGCCGCCGCCUCACAUUCCACAGACCACCCUCCUCCCACUCUCUCAGGGGCGACCAGCCGCAUGCGUUUUUAGCUUUUAUCUGGUCUUCGACGCUGUGUCUUAGUUCACUUUACGCUGGCGUUCCUGAUUGUUGUGUGUCGCUCCGCGGUACUUGAGCCGCCUCUCGGACCCGAUAGAUGUCACCGCUGGUGGCCGGCGCCCCGUCCGGCACUUCCGAUGUCUGUGGCUGCUGUCGGCCGGCCCGACACUAGGUGGCGGCCGGCCCUCCCGGCCCGACACCUAUUUAUUCAGGGGCUGCGCGGCGCGCGCGCGCGCGCGCGGCUGGGUGUCUGUGUAAUGUUUGUACAGCUGUGUGCGUGUCCUGCUCGGGUACACUGUGUAAUGUACGGCAUGGUUGCGGUCAAUUCCACUGAGAAACAGAUGACGAAUAAAACAAUUAUGUGAAAUGUUUA